GGGGUUGGUUCCCCACGAAGGGCCGAGAUCUGAGUGCUUCACCAAAACCCAAAAUCACAGCUCCCAGGCUGGGCAGGACCGUGAGGCUCACUUACCGUGGUCCAGAAAACCCUCCCUUCCCUCUGCCCUCACCCGGCCCCACAGGCACACAACUGUCUAGGAACCAGCAGCCUCAGGACCAAGCCAAACUUCCGGAGAAAUCCCAGCUGCCUCCCCAGCCCUGGCCUUGGCAACUCAACGUGCUGCCACAGUCUCCUCCCGGGUAAAAUGGGACCUGCCUCCUUUCACUACCUGGCGUGAGACGCCAUCAUGUCCUGCCAGGACUGCAGCUCCCGUCUGCCCUCGGCUCCCGCCCUACCUCCUCCCUCACCGCUGGCUAAGAGAGUGGCCACCAGCCCUGCACAGCCACAGAGCACCUCAAAGUGGCCGCUGUGCAGUGAGACUUAGCAGAGGCUACAUGCUGGAGCCAAAGACGUGGCACAAAAAAGAAAAAGAAAGCAAAUAUCUCAAAAAUGUACAUUGAUUUCAUGUUGAAAUAACAUUUUGGAUAUAUUGGGCUAAAUAAAAUAUACUAUUAACAUUAACUUCACUUGUUUCUUUUUACUUUUUUUUGAGACAGAGUUUCGCUCUUGUUGCCCAGGCUGGAGUGCAGUGACGCGAUCUCGGCUCACAGCAACCUCAGCCUCCCGGGUUCAAGUGAUUCUCCUGCCUCAGCCUCCCGAGUAGCUGGGAUACAGGCACACACCACCAUGCCCGGCCAAUUUUGUAUUUUUAGUAGAGAUGGGGUUUCACCAUGUUGGUCAGGCUGGUCUCAAACUCCCGACCUCAAGUGAUCCACCCACCUCAGCCUCCCAAGUGCUGGGAUUACAGGUGUGAGCACCGUGCCCAGCUCUUUUUACUUUUUUAACGUGGCUAUUACAAAAUUUAAUAUUGUGUUCACACCUGGCAUCAGAUCACUACGGGACACCGCUCCAGCACCUUCAACCAAAAGGGCAGCCGCGGCGCCUGGCUCACCCUAAGCAGGUGGCCUCCCUCCUCUGCUCAGAACCUCCCGUGGCCCAGAGGAGAAGAGGGUACUGGCCCGGCCCUAGG
RNAcentral lists this long non-coding RNA (1092 nucleotides) under Homo sapiens (human). Its description in RNAcentral is "HSALNT0235583". The record is from RNAcentral. Lineage: Eukaryota; Metazoa; Chordata; Mammalia; Primates; Hominidae.